This 618-nucleotide long non-coding RNA is filed under the name Fukomys damarensis (Damara mole-rat). RNAcentral describes it as "lncRNA (ENSFDAG00000026205.1)". The record is from RNAcentral. Lineage: Eukaryota; Metazoa; Chordata; Mammalia; Rodentia; Bathyergidae.
AGGACCAGGGAUGUAGCUCAGUAUGAAGGCCCUGGCUUCAAUCCUCAAUAUCAUUUUUUUUUUUUUAAUGUGGAGGCUCGGCGCAAUGAAGCGGCUUGGCUGUCCUGGGGACGAGAAGGGGUGGAAGUUGAGCUGUACUGCACCCCUGACGGUCGCAGGAGCAAGGCCCCCCGAGCUGUCCAGAAGGAAGUGAGCUGCCUCCCCAGAGCGUGGACAAGGCCCUCUCCGCGGGGGAGCAGGGAAGUCUGUUGCCAUGGAAAUCGGGUGGCUUCCCCAGGCCUGGCAGGCAGCAAACAGUGUGCUUGCUCUUCUUCACCCUCACCAACGGCCUCCAUCUGCAGGGCCCCCAUCUGCAGGGAACCCCACUGCCCGCCUCGCAAGCUUCUUCCCAGCUCAGGAUGCUGUCCUCGCGCCCCGUGUGACCGCGCGUGUCGUCGUGGGACCUCCACCCAUCCUCAGCCCCGCCUGACCCGCUUCCGGGCACCCACAGAGCCCUUCACUGGGCGCCAAGUGGUUGGCAAGAGAGAAGGCAUUGUUCCCUCCCUACAAGCAGCUCCCUGCAGCCCCCCAGCUGAGCAGUGUGUGCCCCACCACUAGGCCACAGGUUGUAACUCUGAG